RNAcentral lists this long non-coding RNA (1384 nucleotides) under Sus scrofa (pig). RNAcentral describes it as "lncRNA (ENSSSCG00005031966.1)". Lineage: Eukaryota; Metazoa; Chordata; Mammalia; Artiodactyla; Suidae. The record is from RNAcentral.
AUGUAUACAUUUUUUUCCUUUUUUUUUAUUAGCACUUGCCAUUCCCUCCCCAGCCUCCAGCAGCUGCCGGCUCCGGCGACACUGUCUGCACCUCGUCACUGUAUCACACGUGUCACUUCGGCUGGUCGCCGGAAUCAACCCAUCCAGGAACCUCUCGUCCUGAACAAAUGGCUUGAGCAAGACUCCAGCUGACCCAGUCCCGCCCCAAAAGACGGAAGCACGCCUUUUCAGGGAGGCGGACAGGCACUUUAAAUUUGUUCCUGGCAAAAUACGACACAUUGCGGAAACCUGAAUAGUUGAAGCAACAAAUAUGAAGUCCUGGAAUGCCAAGAGUAGGAAUAUUCUAUCAGGCUAAUAACAGCCAUGGGUGCCAGGUACGGAGAGUCUGCUUUGAUGAGCAUCCUGCUGUGUGCCCUGGCGGUAUUAUAAUGGUCAGCGUUCCUGGAUUCAAGCAAAAGACACCAAUUUACUAACCCUGAGCAGAAAAGAAGUUCUCUGAAUAGAAGGCUAGAAAACAGCUCUGAAAAUGGGCAGAAAUCAAGGAGGACUGCGCAGUGGGGACACAGUCUGGAUCUUGUCACAGGGUCACUCUGGUUAAGGUCUCACCACUGUCAGACUCUGGACCCCUCAUGCAGCCACCGGGAGUGACUUCGCAGUUGUCUCCAGGAUACUGAAAGGUUCAGUUUCCCUACGGGGCCAGAAACUUGCCUCCCCAUCAAGACUCACGCCAUGAAGGACUCCCCCAGGAGUGUCACAAAACGAAGUAGAAUCCACCACUUCUUAUCAUCUUGUUCAAGCCUACCACAAACUGACAAUGGGAUUCAGGACUUGCUACCUCAAAUAUGGCACCCUGGUGUACUGAGCACUUUGAGCUGAAGGAUUUGAGAACUGGCAUGUGCCAGAGGGACCAUCUGAGCUUCCCCCGAAGUAGGUCCUAAAACCCUCAUGUGAGAGGUGCCCUCUCUGAACCUAGAGGAGAGGAGCAAACUUAUUUCCUAAGACAAAGAGACCCAGAGAGGAACAAACAGGCCCCGCCGAGUCUCCCGGCGUUUGCUAGACCCACCUCACUCUCUCUCCCACCGCGUCUUCCCACGACUGUCUACUCUUCCUGGUUCAACUCUUGUCUUAGGAAGGUCCCCAUGUAGCGUAAAACUUACAUUAAAUAAACGUGGGUGCUUUUCUCUUGUUAAUCUGUCAGGGGUCCUGGUCAAGAAUUUAGACGUUAGAGGGAAAAGGUUAACAUCCUCCCUUACAGCUCAGAAGCGGAUAUGAUGUAGCCAUUUUCAGGAGGGGAUCAUAGGUCCUGGAGGUAAAGGAAUUUACCCAAGAAGCAAAGGUCCUGGCCACUUGUGCCCUACACGGUCUUACCCUGAAGCCAGGCAUC